This 204-nucleotide long non-coding RNA is filed under the name Elaeis guineensis (African oil palm). Its description in RNAcentral is "long non-coding RNA (EGUI_LNC013600)". The record is from RNAcentral. Lineage: Eukaryota; Viridiplantae; Streptophyta; Magnoliopsida; Arecales; Arecaceae.
GGGGUGAGGAGAUCUAGAAGCUCUCAGAGUUAGAAAGAGGUCGAAUGUCGAGUCGAAAUGAAGAUCGUUAGGAUUUGAUGUCUUGAGAUUUGAUCUGCAUUGAGCCCACAUGAGGUCCACGAUGACGAACGAAGUCCAACGAGCUCAAGAUCACCUCAAACAGAGUCCGGAUGAUCGAGAUAUGCUCGAUUGAAGAUGGCAUUC